RNAcentral lists this ribosomal RNA (301 nucleotides) under uncultured bacterium. Its description in RNAcentral is "partial 16S ribosomal RNA". It matches the Rfam family "Bacterial small subunit ribosomal RNA", at positions 509 to 807 of the family's 1533-position model. The record is from RNAcentral.
CAGCCGCCGCGGGAAUACGUAGGGUGCAAGCGUUAAUCGGAAUUACUGGGCGUAAAGCGUGCGCAGGCGGUUAUAUAAGACAGAUGUGAAAUCCCCGGGCUCAACCUGGGAACUGCAUUUGUGACUGUAUAGCUAGAGUACGGCAGAGGGGGAUGGAAUUCCGCGUGUAGCAGUGAAAUGCGCAGAUAUGCGGAGGAACACCGAUGGCGAAGGCAAUCCCCUGGGCCUGUACUGACGCUCAUGCACGAAAGCGUGGGGAGCAAACAGGAUUAGAUACCCCAGUAGUCCCUGUCUCUUAUAC